This 390-nucleotide ribosomal RNA is filed under the name uncultured Calothrix sp. Its description in RNAcentral is "partial 23S ribosomal RNA". It matches the Rfam family "Bacterial large subunit ribosomal RNA", at positions 2098 to 2486 of the family's 2925-position model. Lineage: Bacteria; Bacillati; Cyanobacteriota; Cyanophyceae; Nostocales; Calotrichaceae. The record is from RNAcentral.
GCUUUACUGUAGCCCGGAAWUGUGUUCGGGCNUUGSUUGCGCAGGAUAGGUGGGAAGCKUUGAAGUACUCCUUGUGGGGAGUAUCGAGCUAACGGUGAGAUACCACUCUGGCGAAGCUAGAAUUCUAACCAAUGUCCGUAAUCCGGAAUUGGAACAUUUUCAGGUGGGCAGUUUGACUGGGGCGGUCGCCUCCCAAAAGGUAACGGAGGCGCGCAAUGGUUCUCUCAGCACGGUUGGAAAUCSUGCGUCGAGUGUAAAGGCAMUAAGAGAGCUUGACUGUGACACCAACAAGUGGAACAGGUACGAAAGURGGCCUUAGUGAUCCGACGGCGCAGAGUGGAAUGGCNCGUCGCUCAACGGAUAAAAGUUACUCUGGGAAAAAGGGUUGAA